CAUCUAGGCGGCCAACUAAGUCUGAUGUUAAAAUGCGGGGCUCAACCCCGGAAGUGCAUUUGAUACUGUCAGGCUUGAGUAUGGGAGAGGGAAGUGGAAUUCCUGGUGUAGAGGUGAAAUUCGUAGAUAUCAGGAGGAACACCGGUGGCGAAGGCGACUUCCUGGACCAAUACUGACGCUGAGGUGCGAAGGCGUGGGUAGCAAACA
RNAcentral lists this ribosomal RNA (207 nucleotides) under uncultured bacterium. RNAcentral's name for it is "partial 16S ribosomal RNA". It matches the Rfam family "Bacterial small subunit ribosomal RNA", at positions 568 to 774 of the family's 1533-position model. The record is from RNAcentral.